Molecule: non-coding RNA, 98 nt
Organism: Rhodocollybia butyracea
Lineage: Eukaryota; Fungi; Basidiomycota; Agaricomycetes; Agaricales; Omphalotaceae
Source: the annotation of a GenBank genome assembly
ACUUAUAUUGUCAAGUGGUUAAGACACCUUGAAUUCCUGCACCAAUCUGCCACUUGAAAGAUUUCGAGGAGACGGAAGUUCAAUUCCUCCUAUAAGUA